CCAAGUGCCCCUGAGGGUAAAGCAGGUCUCUGUGGGUGCAGGAAAACGAGCUAUCUCUGAAAUCCAAGAAGAAAAAUAUUCUCAGUGGAACCAAAGCUGACAUUCACUCUCCUGGUGCGUUGCCAAAGCUUAGGAGCUGGAAACACUGAAGAUUUGAUAUAGAGGGGGACUGACACCAUACGGGACUGCUUGAGAAAUCAGAAACAGCUCAGUAAAAUUCUUGAACAUGUACCUUUAUCUUCCUCUGCAAAGGAGGAAUGUAGACAAGCUCUCUGUGUGAAAUUGGAAAGGAGCACUGGGGUGACCUCUGCCAACCCACACCAGCCAUGGAGCAGCUUUGGACGGCUCUUAUUUGAGCUCUGAUGGUAGCAGCUGGAGCCUUUGCACAUGUGGACAUGGGUGUCGCUGGCAUAGCAGUGUUGAGGUAGGUACCCUCAGCUGGGAGAUUUGUAUUCCCCACUUCAUGUAGAUAGAGCAUGUCAAUCUAGGGGUUUUUCCUCAGGGGCAAUGUCUCACAGAAUUGCAGACAGUCAUAGAAAACCAUUUAAAAAGGGG
Long non-coding RNA from Columba livia (rock pigeon), 555 nucleotides. RefSeq lists it as uncharacterized. NCBI's taxonomy places the organism in Eukaryota, Metazoa, Chordata, Aves, Columbiformes, Columbidae. The record is from RefSeq and is a predicted model, not a curated record. The transcript is spliced from 3 exons.